This 591-nucleotide ribosomal RNA is filed under the name uncultured archaeon. RNAcentral describes it as "bacterial SSU rRNA". It matches the Rfam family "Archaeal small subunit ribosomal RNA", at positions 41 to 631 of the family's 1478-position model. The record is from RNAcentral.
UGACUAAGCCAUGCAAGUCAUAUGUUCUUCGUGAACAUGGCGUACUGCUCAGUAACACGUGGAUAACCUGCCCUUGGGUCUGGGAUAACCCCGGGAAACUGGGGAUAAUACCGGAUAAGGCAUAUAUGCUGGAAUGCUUUAUGCGUAAAAUGGAUUCGUCUGCCCAAGGAUGGGUCUGCGGCCUAUCAGGUAGUAGUGGGUGUAAUGUACCUACUAGCCUACAACGGGUACGGGUUGUGAGAGCAAGAGCCCGGAGAUGGAUUCUGAGACAUGAAUCCAGGCCCUACGGGGCGCAGCAGGCGCGAAAACUUUACAAUGCGGGAAACCGUGAUAAGGGGACACCGAGUGCCAGCAUCAUAUGCUGGCUGUCCAGAUGUGUAAAAUACAUCUGUUAGCAAGGGCCGGGCAAGACCGGUGCUAGCCGCCGCGGUAACACCGGCGGCCCGAGUGGUGAUCGUGAUUAUUGGGUCUAAAGGGUCCGUAGCCGGUUUGGUCAGUCCUCCGGGAAAUCUGAUGGCUCAACCAUUAGGCUUUCGGGGGAUACUGCCAGGCUUGGAACCGGGAGAGGUAAGAGGUACUACAGGGGUAGGA